Molecule: long non-coding RNA, 475 nt
Organism: Pyrus x bretschneideri (Chinese white pear)
Lineage: Eukaryota; Viridiplantae; Streptophyta; Magnoliopsida; Rosales; Rosaceae
Exons: 3
Source: RefSeq, a predicted model, not a curated record
AUUCACUGAACUUAUUUACGGAUCCCACCAUUACCCACCCUUCCUGUCGUGCGACUGCUGUCUAUCUGAUUCUCUCUCCUCUCUCUCCUGGCUGACAGUCGAGUCAGUUCACCUUCCCAAUAACGGCGAUAUCGUGGCCCUCUCCGCCUCCCUCCUAUCAAAUCUCCAUUCGAAUUUGCAGAAACAAGUCGCAGUUCGAACCGAUUUCACUUGCAUGGCCGUCAUCUGAUAUAUCCGAUUUUGGGGACGAUUUGUGGGACUGAACCGGCAUGAAGCGGGAAUUGGCUUGUGUUUUGGAGGGCCAAACUCCGCUCGCUGAUUCAGUGGCUGGGACUCAGGCCGAGUCCCAGACGAGUCCGUGUGUUGUUUAUGAGAGACUUAAUCGUAAGAGGUUUAAGGGUACUAUUGUGAAUGGUGUGAUUGUUUAUACCCGAGAGAGAAGGGCUCGGAUCAAUGGCGGUAAUGGGGUUUCGGA